Molecule: small RNA, 633 nt
Filed under: Oryza sativa Japonica Group (Japanese rice)
Lineage: Eukaryota; Viridiplantae; Streptophyta; Magnoliopsida; Poales; Poaceae
Description: sRNA Os01g0963350
Source: RNAcentral
UUGCAAAAUGCAAUAAAUGUAGCAGAAUGAAAAUUGACCUCAUAAGUAGAAGCUGUCUAUCUGAUUCUGAAGCAAUGAAGUCAUCAUUGUCUUGUGCAGUGUAGUGGUUACUUCUGCUUGUGCCCAUGUCUUGGUGCGCCGAGAAAGUUGAAUUACUCUUCCCCUUUUCAACAGAUCUCCUGACUGCAGCAACCUGGAUAUGUUUACCCGUAAACAGGAAUCCAGCGUAGAUGAAACUUGCAUUGGCUACAUAGAGUUCAGAACACAGUAACAUCAAAAUUAUUCUCGUGUCUUUUUUUUUCCCACGCCACUGUAUAUCAUGCACAUGAAAUCUGUAGUAUAAGUAUAAUUUGUAAAGUUCCAAUAAGUCACCCAGCAGUUUAUAUAACAUAAAAAGCGAAACAAGAUGAAACAUCAAGAAAUACCUGAUUACGAGCAGAACCAAUCCAGUUCCGUCGUCUAGAAAGCUCAACUUCGUCCAGUCCAUAGUACGCUGGAUCUCUUGAUGCAACUAAGAUUGUCUUUUCCAACUCAUCCACCUUCCAACAUAAAAAAACACCAGUUAUACCAGAACAACUGUGCAGGAAGAAGAAAACAGAUAUUCCGAUAAGUAACUCUAAUAUAUUAAAUGCA